GAGGAGUCUGUGUCUGAGAGGAGACCACCCUCUCCUGCACCCACCAGUGUGUCUAUGAAGAGUGAUGACUCCAUGUGUCGUCCCAUUAGUUUUAAAAGAGGAGACUCUUCACCUCAACACUCUACCCGGCGUAAGAGAUCCCGAUCUGCUGUAGUGAACCCGUGUGAGCCCUUGAAGAAACAGCAGCAGAGGAUGGAGGAGUCUGUGUCUAAGAGGAGACCACCCUCUCCUGUACCCUCCUGUGUGUCCAUGAAGAGUGAUGUGUCCAUGGAUCCCCCCAUUAGUUUUAAAAGAGUAGACUCUUCACC
Long non-coding RNA from Engraulis encrasicolus (European anchovy), 308 nucleotides. RefSeq lists it as uncharacterized. The transcript has 3 exons. The record is from RefSeq and is a predicted model, not a curated record. NCBI's taxonomy places the organism in Eukaryota, Metazoa, Chordata, Actinopteri, Clupeiformes, Engraulidae.